UCUGAUUUUUGUCUCUUUUUUUCUUUGAUGAAGAUUCUCUUGAUCAAUUCAUGGCUAUCGAAACUGAUUCUGCCAUAAAAAUCUGGACAGGUCUCUCUCAGUUCUAAUUUUUAUUGCUUUGUUUUUGCCAUUCCAUUUGAUGAGAUUGUGUGUGUGUUUGGCGCUGUCAAUUUCAUCAAGCAAUCCAAUGUUGCUCAUAGAAUCCUUAUUUUGUAUUUGUGUUACCACUCUUAUGGAGAAAUCAAAUUAAAGGCAAGCAUGGAAGAAGAUCCGUUGAUCUGUGUUGAUGUCAUCAAGAUUCCACUGCUCUACUGUGCAACUCUUAAGCUGCAAAAUAUGCUAACUUGAAACCUCUUUGCUCUCAAAAGAGGUAAAUUUGUCUCCUUUGUGUCACUAGGCUCUAUCUCCCUUGACCCUUGUGAUAAAUUGAACAAGCGGGUACUUAACGAGAUAAAGUUAACAUUAUAGACAAAGACAGCGACAACAGACAACUUGCUACGUUUUCUUUCUUCAUUGCUAAAGCAUUAUCUCACUAUUUUGCCUAGUUUUAGUAUAAGCAUCUUUGAUUCUUGUUAAGAAAACAUAUCAACUUUUAGAUUAUAAUUUUUACCAAAAAAAACUUUUAAAUUAUAAUAAUACAAAAAGGAGUUUGUUA
RNAcentral lists this long non-coding RNA (655 nucleotides) under Arabidopsis thaliana (thale cress). RNAcentral describes it as "potential natural antisense gene, locus overlaps with AT2G35740 (AT2G35738)". Lineage: Eukaryota; Viridiplantae; Streptophyta; Magnoliopsida; Brassicales; Brassicaceae. The record is from RNAcentral.